UGCAGGCUGAAGUCACAUUAAACACUUCACACCAGCAAAGAGUCUGAAGCUCACAGGUCAAAGGUCAGCUGCUGCAGCCAGUUAUGACUUUACAUAAAUCAUCAUGUUUUCCCUCUCAGCACUUGGGCUGUUUUGACUCAGCUACACUAUGGGAAACGGCCAAUGGUUCCACAGCUGUUCUUGUUCACAGCAUCAUCCAGUUAGAGAGGAAACUGUAUAAUGCAAUGAUGUUGCUCCUCCUCCACAUGCUUACCUGCCACAGUUUAACUCCGCCUCUUAGACAGUCAUGUCACCUGAUCUGCAUGUUUUGUUGUACGAUGACGUCAUCUUGCCGUUGACGAGGAG
Long non-coding RNA from Oreochromis niloticus (Nile tilapia), 345 nucleotides. RefSeq lists it as uncharacterized. The transcript is spliced from 2 exons. The record is from RefSeq and is a predicted model, not a curated record. NCBI's taxonomy places the organism in Eukaryota, Metazoa, Chordata, Actinopteri, Cichliformes, Cichlidae.